Molecule: long non-coding RNA, 3133 nt
Filed under: Gallus gallus (chicken)
Lineage: Eukaryota; Metazoa; Chordata; Aves; Galliformes; Phasianidae
Source: RNAcentral
CUCCUUUUGGUUUUUGUGCUAGUUUUAUCCAAUCAUUAUUCUUCAUGGCAUGCAGUGAAUUUACUGCAUUUUGUAACAUGUUACACUCCCUUGACCUGAAUUUUGAUUAAUUACACUGAAUGGUAAUACCAAUGUUUCUAGUACUGAAGCUCUUUGUUAUAUCAACAGAAAGCAUAAAAUGUCAGAUUAAAUGUUCAGAAAAAAGAAAAACCCACUGAAGUGUUCGAGAAGGGAGAAUAAUGACCUUACAGAAUCAGACAAAAUCAUGUACGAUACCAUGAGACCUAUGGAUAAACUCAAAGAUGUUUUGCCUUGCAAUACAGAAUAUUAGUGCUGAUUUUCAGAAACACUGCAUAAAUUUCUCAGUCCUUUAUAAGGCAUAACAACAAAAAAUAACAUUAUAGAAUAACUUGUAAAUUUUUUUCUCUGUCUAACAGCAACUCUGUUAUACCCUCAGGUAUAAUAAAACAGGUAUUUGAUAUAUUCUGUGGACUAUGGAGUGCGAUCAGAUUAUUUUCUUACACCAGAGGACUGCGGUUACAAGUUACUGCCAGAUAUUGCUUCUCUGUGAUUUUUCUCAGGCCUUUUGGACUAUGUCCAUAACUCAGCAGGAUUAGUGGGAGCCACACUUUCCACUAUAGAGAAUGCAAGUGAAGCUAAGUGGCAUAGAAACAAGUUCAGAAAGCUGCAAGAGUUAAUUGCACACCACUGUUAUUAACACAAUUGAGUAUCUUUACUCUGCUGCAUUUACUAUAACUGUUUUCUCCCUGGUUAGGGGAAUAAAUAAUUUUAUGCUGUGAUUUGUAAAUACAUUAACAAUAACUUCUGGAAUGAUAUUUUCAGCAGUUACCUGCUUUUGUAACAAUUGUGGAAACACAGAUUAUGCCACGCUAAAGGAACUUGAGUGUUUAUGAAGAACAAAAAGUGUUUGAGCUCUUAAUAGCUGUAACUUGACUGCACUGGCAGUAAAUGGGGAUAUUCUGAAAAUAACAUAGAAUUAGAAACUAGGCAGGAGCAGAAAUUGCUGGUGAGGGUUAUUUUUCUCACAUCAAGAAUUCUGUGUUUCCAUUUUUGUUUGCUUUGUUUCUACUUACGUAAAAUAUGUUGAAGUUUGGGAUAUGGCGGAUUGCCUCUUGUUUAAAUUUUUGCAAUUCAGCCAACAGUUAAAGGUAAGCAGUCCUUAAAACCUCAUUUAGCUUUAGUAGCUUUCAGAGUGACGUUAACAGAACUCUUGUCAGCACCUUUGCUGUGUUAAAGUGCUGACACAAAGGAAGCUUGGGCUAGAUCAAAUAUGGAUUAUUUUUUCUUUCAAAACUGCUGUUCUCUUGUUUCCAUUGUACUUUGAUCAUUAUAGUCAAAUAGUUUCAAGCAUAUUCUUUUUCAGUGAGUUACUUAUUUUUCUUUCAGAUAUGGUGAGUUCAGAUAUGCAGUUAUGUGAUAUAGUAAAAGAUGGUCUGAGUUAACUGUCCUUUGGUAGAUUCACUAGUAGAUUCUAGUGAAUCUAUCAAAGUAUUCAAGACUCUCCUCAUCUUGCACUGUGCAAUGAAAUCUUCAGCUUCCUUUGCUGCCUUAAUGCCAGUGCAGAUGCUUCACCUUCUCUAUUCAGUAUGUCAGUACCAUGGCACGGGAGCUGGAAUUCUAUGAUCUCUGAGAUCCAUUCCAACCCAAGCCAUUCUAUGUUUCUGUUAUUCUAAGUAUCAUGACAGGCAGUCCAUUGAGAUUGUAGAAUUUCUUAAUUGCGGUCUUUGAGAUUUUUCCUUAUGUAAUCAGAAUUUUUCUUGCUACAGCUUGUGUCUGUUGCUUUUGGUUUGUCUGUCUUCACAUCAAAGUUGUACAGUUGCUGAUUGUUGAUAUCACAACCACAUGAAGGAAUACAUAGUAGUAGAAUACUGUUAAUUUGCACAGAUAAUUCUCUUCCUAUAAGUUUUUGCAGUAUGAGGCAAAUAUAAGCAAAGAUAUGUAUCCUCAGGAGUAUAUGCCUUUUCUUCCCUUGUGUUCCUGCUGUGUUUUUUCAGAUAACUUUAGAAUAUUUUGUGUGCCUAAAUUACAAGCAGUACUCAUUUGCUGUAAGUGUGAUUUCAAUGAUUCUUAUUUUCUCUCUUAAUCUGAAGUGAGCAAAUGAAGAGUCUGGUAUUAGUUGAAACAGAACAGAUGUUUUUAAUUGAUGAUGCUUGUUAGUAUCUAAGUAGAAGCUGACAGUAUGUGGGCAGAUAGGUUCUGCUAAUAAAUUCUAACCAAUGUAUGAACUCCAUUUAUCAGCCUGGAUAUAUUAGUAUGACUUUUUUGGGUGUUUGUUCUCGACCCAUAGAAGCCUUCUGAUACUCUGCCUCACUACAAGGUAUCACUCCAUUGAGAAACACGAUGGAAAACAAAAACAGCAAAGAAAAUGCAAGUUUCCCUUAGGGCAAUGACUUCUGCUUUUUAUGUAGCAGCCAUUUUCUGACAGGACACACAAUACUUUACUAAAAUUUCAAGUUCCUUAUGCAUUUUUUUUCAAGUGACUCCAUAUGUUUCAUGGAAGGCAUCCAGAGGUGUUUAUGCUCUUUUCUUCUUUGUUAAAGCAUUCCCUUAGAGGAACUGUUGCCUUACUCUGUGGCACUUCUACUUGGCUUACUUUGUAUGGAAUUACGGAGACUGGGAGGGAGUUGGGAGGUGUCAGUACUGCUACUUUUUUCAACAGGAGCAAAAAAUUGUGUUCUCUCAAAUCUUCCAUACUUAUGCAGACUUGAAAGCAGGAACAGAAAAUACAAGUACAGCUUCUUGUAAUAGUGUGUGGACUCUUAGAAGCAUCUAUUUUAAAAAUAGUAAAUAUUUAUCAAGACAAAAGCCUUGAAAAACUUUAACAUACAAAUAAAAAUAAUCUACUGAAAUCUGAUAGCUACAAAUAUAUAUUUAUCUGAAGCAGUCUUCAAAGUUGUAUAGAAAUGAGUUAUUCUUGACCUUUGUGAUGUCAACUUGGAACACUGUCCUUGAGAAUAUCUGUGAAAGAUUUUUACUUUGACAUAAUUUGAACAAGGUGGAAGAAAUGUCACUGCCAGUAACGAUAGACCUCUACUCUGUUUUGAAGAUAAAUAAGAAGACAGUGCUACAUAGAGUAACUUUAUAUAUAUUGUUUAAAGGAAGCUUGACUUUC